AUACGUAAGUUGCGAGCGUUAUUCGGAAUUACUUGGGUGUAAAGGAAGCGCAGGCGGGAGAUCAAGUCAGCGGUGGAAUGUAUGGGCUUAACCCAUGAACUGCCGUUGAAACUGAUUUUCUUGAGUGAGGUAGAGGUCAGCGGAAUUUCCAGUGUAGCAGUGAAAUGCGCAGAGAUUGGAAAGAACAUCAGUGGCGAAGGCGGCUGACUGGGCCUUAACUGACGCUGAGGCUUGAAAGUGUGGGUAGCAAACAGGAUUAGAUACCCUGGUAGUCCACACCCUAAACGAUGAAUGCUAGGUGUAGGGGGACUGAACCCUUCUGUGCCGGAGUUAACACAUUAAGCAUUCCACCUGGGGAGUACGAUCGCAAGAUUAAAACUCAAAGGAAUUGACGGGG
This 397-nucleotide ribosomal RNA is filed under the name uncultured bacterium. RNAcentral's name for it is "partial 16S ribosomal RNA". It matches the Rfam family "Bacterial small subunit ribosomal RNA", at positions 523 to 918 of the family's 1533-position model. The record is from RNAcentral.